RNAcentral lists this long non-coding RNA (875 nucleotides) under Homo sapiens (human). RNAcentral's name for it is "HSALNT0316864". The record is from RNAcentral. Lineage: Eukaryota; Metazoa; Chordata; Mammalia; Primates; Hominidae.
CAGAAAAAACUAGGUUAUAGACAAUUGUGAGUUGUCUGUCAAGUACCAACAUUCUGUAGCAGAUCAGCAAAUUUUAUGAAUAUACCAUCUCACAAUUUUUAUAGAGAAACCUGAGAUUCCAACCCAGCCUUUUGUUUGCCUGGGAUUAUAGCCCAGUUCUUACAAGCAGAGAAGCCUAGGACACUAACCCAGCUUCAAGAGUAUACUCAGAAUCUCAAGAAUCACAAUCUGUGCUGCCCAUUCUUCAACAGACUGUCAUCUGGAGGCCUGGAUUGGAUCAGGAGUCGGGCUCACCAAUGGAGCCCCAAUCAGUCAGUCAGGAGUGAAGAUGAAAGCUUCAAAGGCAUUGAUGACUCACUUCUCACUUGAGUCCAGACCCAUCUGGAUUGCCUGCAAAAAGGUCUCGGCAGUGACCUGAAAACAUAUGUAAAUUACCCAACCAAUUCUAACCAGGACCUGCUGUCUGGCAAUUCAUCCCCAUGUUCUAGACUUGUCCAACAAGCACCCAAGCAACUUUGAGUUCCAUCCUGCAACUCUCAGUCAGGCUCAAGAAAAGCCCCAAUUUUAUCUGGGCAUGGUGACACAUGACUGUAAUCCCAGCUACUCGGGAGGCUGAGGCAGUUGAAUCGCUUGAACCCAGGAAGCGAAGGCUGCAGUGAGCCGAGAUCAUGCCACUGCACUCCAGCCUGGGCAACACAGCGAGACUGUCUCAAAAUAAAAUUAAAAUUAAAUUUUUUAAAAAGGCCCCAAUGAUGACACUUAGCCUCUUUGACUCUAUUUGACUCUUUCUAGCUUGACUCUAGUUUGUCAGCCAUAAGUGCAGACCUACAUUUGCUUUAUGCAUUAAGAUUGGCCACUUCUGAAUGGAGACCAGA